Molecule: long non-coding RNA, 2949 nt
Filed under: Sus scrofa (pig)
Lineage: Eukaryota; Metazoa; Chordata; Mammalia; Artiodactyla; Suidae
Description: lncRNA (ENSSSCG00000053830.1)
Source: RNAcentral
CCGCCAGGCAUCGUGAAAACCACGCAAACCCUACACCUCUUGAAAACAGACAGCUGGACGUCCCCCACCACGUCUCAGGCACAAGGCGUGCGGCCCAGGCCGGGCGGCAGUGUUUCGAAUUUUGCUUCCAGUAUCCAGGCUCCUCGGCAAUCUAUAGCGUAAUUGUAUUCUGCCACCGAGCUCUCAGCAAUACCAUCGUGCAGACCUUCCAAAUGCUUAAUGUGGUCAUUAGCUGCGCAGCAUAGUAGAAAUUCGUGGAUAUGGUACAGGGUUGGGGAGAAGCUAUUUUUUAAACGGAGACAAAUAGCAGAACAGCUGCAGCCUUCUGCCAGGAGACUCUAUUUUCCUUGCUUCUUUAGGAGUUUGGAAUUAACUCCGGAGAGCGCGGUUGAAAAAUUAGAGUUGGACGGAACCAAAAUAACUCAGAAGGGGGGGUCCAGGCGUGGAGGGAAUGCUCUCCUGCGAGGGCACAAUGGCUCCUUCCUGCAGCCGACAGACAGCAGGCACCGCAGCGGGGAGAGGCCCAGGGAGGUGGCCGUCCUUCUGUGGCUGAGGUGGGGGAGUGCACAGCCCUGGUCCUGCCGUUUCAGUGUAAAAUUGCCUCCGAGCCAGUAGGAGAUUCCAACUUGUAGGAAGAGAAAAAUUGGAAAGAGGAAAAAAUGAGUCCAAAUCCGAAAAGUAACAUUAAGAAAUCUUUUCUUCAGGACUGGAGUGUUGGGUUUUGGUUUUUGGGUUUUGGCCCCGCCCACCCAUGGCAGGUGGACGUUCCUUGGGCCAGGGAUCCAACCCACUGUACCACCAGGGAACUCCUUGAUUGUGUGGCUAUUUAAAUUUGAAUUAAUUCAAUGAAAUUAAAAUUUCACCUCUUCAGUCUUGCCACAUUUCAGGUGCCGAAUGGCCACAUGGAGCUAGUGGCUACCAUCUUGGACUUUGUGCAUAGGGAACAUUUUCAUCAUUACAGAAGCUCUGUGGAACAGGGCUAUUGAAUCUAGGAUAAUAAGAGGAGAUAUUUGGUCUGGUCCCGCCUGUUUAUCCUAUAAACAGGGAAGCGUUAUCCGUUGAGGAAAUAUGAUUUUAUGAGAUUACGUUGGGGGCCUACAGGCAUUAUGGAUACACAUGCAGCUCUUGUCACUUGCCCUGAUCAGACCUGCAUCCUCAGGCUCUCAGCCUCCGGUUCUCAAACCUGGCUCCACCUUAGAAUCAUCUGGAGAGAUUUUCAAAUGCCCAAUGCUCGGCCCACAAAGCUGACCAAUGAAAUCAGAAUUUCUGGGGAGGCAGAUCAGGCAUCAGGUUUCUAAAAAAAACAGUAAACUGGGGAGUUCCUGUCAUGGCGCAGUGGAAACGAAUCCAACCAGGAACCAUGAGGUCUCGGGUUCUAUCCCUGGCCUCACUGAGUGGGUUAAGGAUCGGCGUUUCGGUGAGCUGUGGUGUAGGUCGCAGGUGCUGCUUGGAUUCGGCAUUGCUGUGGCCGUGGUGUAGAUGAGCAGCUGCAGCUCUGAUUGGACCCCUAACCUGGGAACCUCCAUAUGCUGUGGGUGCAGCCCUCAAAAGACAAAAAUAAAAUAAAAUAAAAUAAAAAAUAAAGAACAGUAAACUUUAGAAUAAUUUUAACUUUACAGAAAAUUUGCAAAAAUAAUGUGGAGAAUUCCCAUACACCCCCACCCCCCCCAGAUUUCCAUGUUAUUGAUAUCUUACAUUACUGUCCUACAUUUGUCACAAUUAAUAAGCCAAUAUCAAUGUAUUGGUCCAGACUUCAUUCAGAUUUCCUAAUGUCCCUUUUCUGUCCCAGGAUUCCAUCCAGGAUAGAUAUUAAAUUACAUUCGGUGGUCACGUCUCCUGAGGCUCCAGGGUCGUGACAGUACCUGAGACUUUCCUUGCUCGUGAUGACCUUGACAGUUUUGAAGCGCACUGGUCAGCAGAGACCAUGCUGGAUCCUUAAACAGCUGAGCCACCAGGGAGCUCCUAAGUGCACCAUUUUGGAAGGAAGUCACUGCCCAGCCCACAUUUGAGGAGUGGGGCAUUACCGUCCACUUCCUUGGGGUGAGGAUUGCUAUUGAUUUCUGUCCGUUGCAACCAGAAGUUUCCUGAGCAAUGGAAGUGGCCAAGGAUCCGGCUUGUGGAAAAUACUGAAAGAACGAAGCGUGUACCUGAAGAGCUGAAACUCCAAGGAUACCUGGAGCCACUGCAUCAAAGUACCGGGGACCCAGGCAAACAUCUUCUUGUUCAUUAAGUGAAGGUGUUAGACAAACAGGCAGGUCUGUGCCCGUGGGAACUCAGAUCCCCAGAAAACCCCAGGGGCCCGGCAAGUCGACAGGAUAAGCUGCGUUUCCUACGGUGCCUCUGCAGAGUCUGCACCAGCUCGGCACUUCCGGGUCACGUGGCCCUUGGUAAACCCCUUCCUCUCGGAGCCUUGAUUUCCUCAUCUGUCCAGUGAAUGGUAAUAAUACUUGUUUCACAGGCGCAUUCUGCAGCUUUCAUUGCACCCUGAGCUCUGUAGAAACUCCAUGAAUAUUGCUUUUCUCCCAUCCAUUCAUGUCCCUGAUGGAAGGCCAUCAAGGAGCCUGGACUGACUCUCCUUCCAGGCUAUUCUUCUAUAGAGGCUACCUUCCGCGCUUCUUCCACCAGUAGCCAUCUCCUCUGAGCUGUCCUGUUCGUAAUCAUCUCCCCUUUUCCGGGUAUGUUCCCUGCCCUUCGUCACAAAGAAGAAUUUCUGAUCAUGUGUGCAUUCCUUUCAGACUUGGAAAACGCCUGAUGUGGGAGUUAGGUUUUCUGUGGCCGGCUUGCCCCUCCUGGCCCGAGUCACCGGCGAAAGAUGACCUUCGGGCUGAAGACGGUGUGGACGCAAAUCAUCCGCUCUCAAGGCAGGGCUCUCUCGUUACCAUGUCUGCAUGAUGUUUCUCCUUCCCAGAGCUGAAGGAUAAAAAAAGAAUAAAAUCAUCAGGCAUUUUU